Molecule: long non-coding RNA, 44593 nt
Filed under: Marmota monax (woodchuck)
Lineage: Eukaryota; Metazoa; Chordata; Mammalia; Rodentia; Sciuridae
Source: RNAcentral
GUUUAUUUAUCAGAGCACUUUGGCAGGAAAAAAAAAACUGCAGAAGCUUCUUCAGACUUAAAUUUUUCAAGAACAUUAUCUGAAGGGGAUAAGAUCUUCACUAAGAAAGGUAAAGUAGUAUACCUGGAGAUAAAUAUAAGCCUUUAUUUUGCCAGCAUUAAUUAUAGAUAUUAACUAUUUAGAUAAUUGUAGAUAAUAAUUACUUAAUUGCUAAGAGGUACAAAAUUAUAAGAAAUUUUCAGAAUAUUAUUCAAUCAUCAUUUAUAUUUCAAAUGUUAACUAAUGUCUACAGAUUCUCUUCAUCUUAGGCUCAUAAGCAUUAAUCAUUUACCAAAAUAUAAAUAGGUUAAAUGCUUUUUUGGUGUAUUUACCUUUUUUCCUUUGAAGUUGAGGGUACCAGGCUGCUCCAAGACCCCAUAAUACAAGCACAUAGUGUUGACCUUGGGCCUGUUCCACUGUUAACAUAACUUUCCUUUGCUUCUGUCCUCUGUAAGUGUAUAAUGAUUCUGGAAAAGGAAAAGAAGAAAAUGUGGAUUGGGCUUAGUUUUAGCACAGGUGACAUUAUAAUAUCUCAUGACAAAUAAAUAGUGAUAACUAGAUGAUAAACUAAGAUGGUCUUGUAUCUUAAUCUUUUUAUAAUCUAAAAUCAAAGAGUCACUCCAAAUGUUUACCUGUCAGUAUAGUGAUAUCCACAACUCUUAGUACUGCAUGGACUAAUCUAUCAGGUUGUAGUCGCUCCAAUUCUACAAACUCUAUACUGUUCACUUUCUGAGGCUGCCUCUGUGGAAGAUCUUCAAGAUAAAAAUGUUUUGAGGACACAUAUGCCAGUAAAUCCUGAAGUGCAACAUCACUAACUAUAUUGGAAUCUAAGGAAGGAAAAAAACAUACAAACAAUGGACAAAGAAUGACAACAUCAUGUUUUCUUGAUAAUGCAUAAUAUUUUCUUAGAACUAAAUUUUAUGUUAUAAAGUGUGAUUAGACAUAAAACCUGACUUAAUUUGUACAUAAACAUAUUCUUAAAUCAGCUUAAAUGCAAAAACAACAGUUGAUAUUUUUCAGCAAUGGAAACAGAAUUAUUUACUAUAUCAAAAAAAAGUCUGCUCUUUUCCCCUUCUUCUCUAUUUGGUUAAAAAUAUCAUUUUUGGGGCUGGGGAUGUGGCUCAAGCAGUAGCGCGCUUGCCUGGCAUGCGUGCGGCCCGGGUUCGAUCCUCAGCACCACAUACAAACAAAGAUGUUGUGUCUGCCAAAAACUAAAAAAUAAAUACUAAAAUUCUAAAAAAAAAUAAAAAUAAAAAUAUCAUUUUUAUACUAAUUAGCCAAGCUUAAAACUCCCAUCAUUUUUUGACUCCUCCACCAGUGUGAUAAUAUUCAUUGGUUUCCCAAUCCCUUGAGCAUGACUUGUCUUUCCCAUCUAUCCUGACCACUGCCAUUCCUCUACAAGCCCCUUAGCACUUCCCAUUGGAAAUAAUCUACAAGACACCUAACUGGUUCUCUCCCUGAACACGCCCUUCCUUUUCCCAUGUUUAUGCAGCUGAUGAUGAGCAGCUGUAAUGCUCUCACUUUGAUUAGACUUCAAUGCUUUCAUGUUCUUUCACCAUCUAAAUACCACAUAUUUUAACAACCACUUCAGGCUCACAGGGACUUUUCCUCCUCUAAAUUCAAGAUUUUUUUUUCUCUCUAACUCUCAUUUGGCAUUUAAACAUGUGCCACAUUGCAAUAAUGCUCAAUUGUAAGACUGGUUAUUUAAUUCUUCAGUCAUAUUUAAAUUACUAUCUUGUCUCAAUUUUUUCUCAUUUUUGAGGCAUACUUUACAUACAGUAAAAUAUAUGAUUUUGAAAUAUACAGAUUGAUAAAUUUUUUAAAUUUUAACUUGUUCUAUAUGCUAACAGAAUGCAUUACAAUUCAUAUAACACAUAUAAAGCACAAUUUUUCAUAUCUCUGGUUGUACAUAAAGUCACACCAUUCAUGACUCAUUCCACCGUCUUUCCUUCCCCCAGACUCCUCCCUUCCCCUCCCUCCCCUUUACCCCAUCUAGAGUUCACAGAUUGAUGAAUUUUGAUGUCUAAAUUUUAAUUUCCCUGAAGGAAAAUGCUUGCUUGAUUACUGACAAACCAUAAGAUACUGGCAAAAAAUGUACUUGUUAUUUUUUAGAAAGCAGAAUUUAUAAGCUGAUUUAUGAUUCCUCUUUUCUUCUAUUAAUUUGCUCAUCAUUGUAUACUCCGUCAGCUAGAUAAACCCUCAUUAUUCACUCACUCUUCAGUAGAUUAUCUACUAAGGGCCAAGCACUAUAUCAGGUACUAAAAAUACAGAAACAAACCAUGUCACAAUCUCAACACUGAAGGAGUCAUUGACCUACAGAUGGACAACAACAAACACUGGCCACAUGAUGUAAGGCAUGUAGGUAAGCAUUCCUAAGAGCACAGAGAAAAAGAACUCCCUGGGAAAGCUGGGAGAGGCUUUAAUGAGGGAAUACUUGAGCAGGGUUUUAGGAAAAUGUCUAAGAGUUUUUAGGUCAAGAGUUGCUUUAUAUUUCAAGAUAAAUAGAAGGAGUUAUAAAUCUAUAGAUGCUUUUGAUAGUCUGAUGAAGCAUUCGAAGUCCUAUCUAAAUAAUAUUUAUUAUAAUAGUCUUCCUGCAUAACAAUAUACAGCAGAUUAUCUACUACUGUAAUUUUAAAGUAAUGAUGGUAUACAUGAUAUUCAAGUUAUCUUCAAUAAUUGUACUGUAAGUGGGGUUAUGACUCGGUAGCAGAGCACUUGCCUCACACAUGUGAGGCACUGGGUUCGAUCCUCAGCACUACAUAAAGAUAAAUAAACAAAAUAAAGUUUAAAAAGAACCCAGAUAUUAAAAAAAAAAUUAUACUGUAACAUGAUAAUAUGUGAUUUAAUACUGCUAAUAUCAAUGCAUAUUAUUGUCUUAUUUGCAAUGCAAUGACAUGUUAAAUUUAAGGGGAGAGUAAAGAAAAGAUUUCUAGCCAGCUGAGUUGAUGGAUUAGAAUAAAUGUUUGAAAAGUUUUAGAAUAUGAUAAAAAGAAACAUACCCUAACUAGGAUUACUCAAUUCCCAAAUGAAUUCUAUGGAAUAAUGCUGAUCUCACUUACAAAGAUAAUAUAUGUAAGAAAAAGGACAGCAUGAAAAAUGAAUGAGGGGAACAAUAGCAAGAAGUCAAUUAGAUUACAACACCACCCAACUUCAAACUUCCAUAGCUCCAAAUUAUUAACCAGACCGAAUUCUUCCACAGUAUUUCCAGCACAUCUGGACUCAGAAAAGCUGGGUUAAAAUUCUGACUUUGUCAAUAAUGAGCUCUUGUAAUUCUCUGGGCCGUUAGGGAAGAAAAGUACAUAUACUUUGGGGGGCUCUGUGUUUUGCAUGUAACAGUAUAUCCUGGAAAUGACUCAUAUCUUUUUCAUUCUUUUUUACAGCUGCAUAGUAUUCCACUGUGUGACUACAUUACAUAAUCAUCUUCCUAAGUAUAAGCAUUUAGAUUUUUAACAAUGUUUUGCAAUUAUAAACUACUGCAAUGAAUAAACUUGUGGAUAUGUAAUUUUCAUAUUAUUGGAAGUAUAUCUCCAGGGAAGAUUCCUAGAAGUAGGACUGCUACUUUGAAAGCAAAGUGCAUAUGUAAUUUCAUUAGGCACUGCCAAAUAUUCUCCAGAAGGGUCUAACAAUUUUUGUUCCCACCACCAAUGUGUGAGAAUAUCUGUAUACCCACAGCCUCAUCAAAAGAAUAUGUUGCCAUAUUUUUAAAAUUUUACUAAUAAUUGAGAAAUUAUAUCUCCCUAAAGUUUUAAUUUUAAUGUCUUUAAUUAAAACUGAGUGAAUUAUGUUUGAGGGCCAUUUCUAAAUUAUUUUUUGAAAAAUGCCAUUCAUUUCUUUUCCCUGUUUUCUCAUUUCCUCUCAGUUCCUUUGUCACUCAAUUUUUUAAAGUUCUUUAUAUAAUGAGAUAUUAGCCUUUUGUUUAGAGUAAUGUUGCAAAUAUUUUCUUCAAGUUUGCCAGUUGUGUUUUGGCUUUCUUUGCAAUGCUUUUGGUCAUGAAAAGGUUUAUUUCUCUGUAGUCCAAUUCAUCAGUCUUGCCUUACUGUGUCUGGAUUUUGAGUAAUAUUAAGAAAGUCUUUCCCUAUACCAAGAUUAAGAGAUUCAACCAUGUUUCCUUCUAGUAGAUGAUUUUAUUUUUUACAUUUAGCUUCUCAAUCUGUUUGGUAUUUGUUAUUCUGUUUGUUAUGACAUGUUCCUAAUUUUAUUUUUUGCCAAAUGGUUACCCAGUUGCCUCAACACUAUUAAAAAGUUACCCUUUAUGUCAAUGAUUUCAGAUAUGACCUCUGACAUACUAAAUUGCUUCAUGGAUGUGGGUCUAAUUCUGAUCUUCCUAUUCUUUUCUACUAGUCUACUUUAUUCACAUACCAGUAACUCACUGUUUUAAUCAUAGAGGUUUUAAUAUUUCAAUGUCUGGUAAUACUGUCUCCCCUCACAGUUUUCCCUUUUCAGUGUUUUCCUAGCUACAUUUGCAUAUUUGUUUUUCCAUAUGAAUUUUAUUAUCAAUUUUUAUAUGCCAUAAUAGUACUUGUUGGUAUUGGAACCUCAUUCAAUUUAUACAUUAACUUAGGGAGAAAUGACAUAACGAUGUUGAAUUAUCCUACCCAAGAAAAGGAAGAUCUUUCCAUUUACCCAUGUAUUCAUUUCUUUUUGGAGUGUCUAAAAUUCAUCCUCAUAUAGGUCUGGUACAUUACUUGUUAAAUUUAUUCUGAAAUAUCUUCUUGAUUACUAUCGUAAAUGAGUUUUUCCCUAUCAUUCUGCCAAUAGUGUUUUAAACACACUGAUCUUUUCAACAUUAAUUUGUGUCCUGCUGUAUCAUUGAAUUCUUUUACUGUUUGAAUUAAUUGUUUUUUCAUUCCCUAGAGACUUCUAGUUAGGUUAUCAAAGCAUUUAUAAAUAGAGAUAUUGUGCAUUCUUCUUCACCCAUUCAGAUGCCUCAUCUUGUCUAACUGCUAUGAAUAAUAACUUUAGUAUAAAAUGCACAGUUGCACAGAUAGUGGACAUCUUUAUCUAGUUCCUAAUGUUAGCAAAAAUUCCUCUAGUAUUUAUUUAUUUAUCUGUUUGUUUGUUUACUGGAACUGAAGAUUGAAUGUGGGAGCACCUUACCACUGAGCAAUAUAUCCCCAAUUAUUUAAAUAAGUUGCCAGUGCAACUUAUUUAAAUAAAUUGCUAAGGAGCUCACUAAAUUGUUGAGGCUGGCCUCGAGCUUGCACUUGCACUCCUACUGCCUCAGCCUCCCAAAUCUGGGGAUUACAGGCAUGUGCCACUACAUGCAGCCCUCCAGCAUUUUUUCUUUAAAUAAGACAUUGGAAUUUGAAACAGUAUAUCUAAUUUAUUAAUGUGAUAUUGUAUUAAAAUGUUACAUUGAUACUUAUUGAUACUGAAGGAGAAAGUAUCCUUUAAUACCUGUUUCCUGGAGUGUUUUCUUCAAAGGGUAUUGAAUUUUGUUAAAGCCUUCUUCAAGGCCGCGCGGUGGCCCCCACUUGUAAUCCUAGCAUCUUGGGAGGCGGAGGCAGGAGGAUCUCAAGUUUAAAGCCAGACCUUUUAAAAAUAUUUUUUUAGUUGUAGAUGGAUACAAUAAUGAAUACAAUACUUUUAUUUUAUUUGUCUAUUUUUAUGUGGUGCCAGGGAUCAAACCCUGUGCCUCACACAUGCUAGGCAAGUGCUUUACCACUGAGCCACAACCCCAGCCUGAAAGAGCACGUUAUUGUUAUUUUUAUUUUUUUGUGGUGCUAGGGAUUGAACUCAGGGCCUUGUGUAUGCAAGGCAAGCACUCUACCAACUGAGCUAAAGUCCCAGCCCUCUCUUUUCUUAAUCACAUAAGGUAGUUAGUUUAUCUGUUAUUUUUAAAGUAGAAUUCUAAUUUAUUAAUUACAUUUAUUGUUUAUCAAUUCUCAUUCUCAUAAAUUCCUGCUUUUAUCCUCACCAUUUUAUUUCUUAUGGUUUCUUUGGAUGACUUGGUUGUUCUUUGGCAAGUUUUCUGAGCUUAGGAUUUAACUAUUUUUAUUCUUUCAUUUUUACUUAAAAGUGUUUACCUAACAAAUUUUUCUCUUAUAUCUGCUUUAAAUGUAUUUCAUAGAUUCUAAUAUAUCAUGUUUUCAUUGUUAUUUUUUAAAUGUUGUAUCAGUUUGUAUUACCCUUUCAUCCAGAAUUUGUUUAAAAAGUUUUAAAACUUGCAAAUAAACAAUCUUGUUUUAUUAAUAAGUUCUAGUUUUAUAGCACUUGGAUAGGCAUUUUUGUUAUACUCCUUUUAACACUUUUGUUAUACUUUAUGGAAGUCACUAGUAUUUUCUUUGUGAGCUAAAGUAUAGAAUCAAUUUUUCUGAAUGUAUUGGGGGUACAAAAGAAUAUGUAUUACUAGUGUAGAGUUUGAUUAAUAUCUAAAUGAUCAAAUCUUUGCACUAUGUUGUUUAGAUUUUUUAUCUCCUUAAUUAUAGUUUAUACAUUAGAUCUGUCCUAUACUACCAAGGAAAUACAAACUAAUCCUAUGAUGAGAUAUUACUGCACAUCUACCAGAAUAGCUAAAAUAAAAAAUAGGAUAACACCAAAUACUGACUAGGAUGUAGAGAAACUGGAAGAUAUAUUACUGGUUAAAGUUUUAUUUUUAUUUUUAAAUUUUUAUUUGCUUAUGUAAUUCAUUUUUGAGAUGGGAUUUUACUACAUUGCGGAGGCUAGCUUCCAACUAGCAAUAUUCCUGCCUUGAUUUCUUGAAGCUGGGCCUAUAGGUACAUGCCAUCACACCUGGCUUACUUAUUCAUUUACUUAUUUAUUUUUGCAAUACUUAAGUUGAACCCAGGGCCUUGCACAUGUUAGACAAGUGCUCUACCACUGAGCUACAUCCUCUGGCCAUGUUAAGAAUUUUAAAUGGAACAGUCACAGUGGAAGAGUUUGGUAGUUUCUUAUAAAACUAAAUAUAUACUUGCAAUACAACCCAGCAACUACACCUUUUGACAUUUAUGCCAGAGAUGUAAAAUUUUAUAUUCACAGGAAAAACCUGUACUCAGAUUUCAUAUUUGCUUAUUCUUAAUAUCCCACAUUGGGAAACAACUCAAAUGUUCUUCAACAGAUUAAGCAAAUGCUGGUAGAUCCAUAUAAUGGAAUACUAUUCAACACUAAAAAAGAAGUAACUAGGGGCUGGGUUUUAGCUCAGUGCUGAAGCACUUACCUAGCAUGUAUGAGGCACAUGAAAAAUAAAUAAAUAAAGGUAUUGUGCCCAUCUACAACUGAAAAUGUUUUUGUUUUUUUUUUUAAAGAAGUAACUAGAGAUAUAUGCAACAAUAUGGUACAGAUCUCAGGGCAUUAUAUUUAGUGAGAAAUGCCAGUCUCAAAAGAUUACAUGCAACAUGAUUCCAUGUAUACAACAUUCUAAAAUGACAAAACCACUGAGAUGGAAGACAAAUUGGUGAGAAUAGAGUUAAAAGGGGGAGGGUUAUUUUUCCAUAGGAAUAGAAUGUAGAAAUCGACAGUGAGGAAUUGGAAUAGUGGUCCACUUUAUGCUUUCAAUAUGGCCCUUGUUCUGCCAGUGCAACUUAUUUUUAGCAUGAACAUGUUUCUUUCUCUUCUUCUCUCCCUGCUCCUCCCUAAUCUCUUUCCCUCCUUAAUCUCAACAGAAACAGGAUUACAGUUCUUCCCCAUUUUAGGCAGAUUUAUCUAUCCUUGAGUACACACCUACCAUAGGAAGGAAAUAAUCCAGACUUUGGGGAUGGUACCAGAAGAUCUCAGAAAUGCCUGUCUCCCAAAUUACUAAAUGAAUUACAAUUCCAACAGAGAACAUGUGGAAUGUAGCCUUUGAUUCACCUCUUUAAAAGCCUUGUUCCUGCUAAUGGGCAAAAAUCACAGCCUCUGGAACAGGAGACCUGGUGUUUCUCCCUUACUAGCAAAGCAAUAAACCUUUUCUCCUUUUACUAAAAAAAAAAAAACAAAAAGGAGGGGGGCGGUUGCAACUAUAAGAUGACAUGAGGGAGUUCCUUUGUGGUGAUAAAUCCAUUUGGUAACUUGGAUUAUGGUGGUUUUAACACGAAUUUAUACAUAGACUCAAACUGCAAAGAACUACACACACACACACACACACACACACACAAGUGUAUGCCAAAACUAAUAAGGUCUCUAGUCCAGUUCAACAGUACUACACUGUUGAUUUCCUGGUGUUCAUAUUAUACUAAAGUUAUAUGUCACCAUUGGGAGAAGUUGGGUGAAGCAUUCAUGGGAUUUUUAUUAUUUCUGUAGUCCCCUAUGAGUCUAUAAUUUCACAAAUAAUAUUUUAAGAUUAAAAGUUUUUAAAUGAAAUAAAUGAAUAUCUAUAUGCCAAUAAUUUAAAUUUGUAUCCUAAUUUUAAACCUCUGAGUCUUGGACUUUGUAUCCAGUUCCUAUGUGAUACUUCUACUUGGAUGCUCCAAAGAUAUCUCCAUUUUAAAUGCCUGAAUUAGAACCUUCCAUUGUACUCAUAUACCUGUAUUUCAUUCUUUGCCAAUACAAGCCACCAAGUGACUUAAACCAAAAGUCUCUUAUUAGUAGAUUGCUUCUCUUCCCUCAUCCCCAAAUCCACACCAUCUGGUUAACUCUCUACAAAUUUAUCUCCAAUCUAUCCAUUUCUCUUUAUCUCCACUAUAAGUAUUGUGUAAUUCCCUAACCCUCUGAAAUUCCACUCCAUGAGCAACACUUCCCAACUACAACCAUGAUAUUCUUCUAUAUCUUAGUCCUUUAUCAGUUUUCUCCACUAUUAUUUGCAAAUACUAUAUAUAUAUAUAUAUAUAUAAAAUUCUCUUUUGUUUAUUUCAGUAUAUCUUCCACAGAAGAAUGUAAGCUACCUGAGGGCAGGCAUCGCUGUAUCCUUAAUGUACUGUUAAGCAUAGUGCUUGAAACAAUAUCAAUACAUAAUACAUACAUAUUGGAUAAAGAACUGAUUUAGUUAUUUUAUGAAAAUGUGUCAUUAUUAAUUUUUUGCUGAAGAACUCUCAAGAAUACAGUGAACUCUUACCUUUUCUCAACACAGUGGUAUCAGUAUUCUAAUUGCUGAAUUAAUUGCUGGAAUUCUAUGCUCUACCCUCCAUAACUUCCUAUUAUUCUAGUUAAACUCUGGUAUAAUCAGAUUUUCCUAGCUAUUUUUCUAUUACACUAUUACAGUAUUCUAUCUACUAUAUUUUGCUAACUUACUAUUUCUCCCAUUGAUCUUACUAUACUGUUAUUAUAUGCAGUUUUGAUACCUUAUAUUUUUUCUUUCAAUCUUCACAACAACCCUAUUAGGUAUGUGUAUAUUGUUUCUACUUCACAACUAAGGAGACAGGGAUAGCAGGAUUAAAUAUCUUGGAUAAAGAAAAGACUUUGGAAGUACUAGGGUCAGGAUUCAAAUCCUGGCCUCUUAAAUUCCAAAUAUUGUUUCCCUACUUUCUUUUCUUAUUUCCUGGAGAAAAAGAUAGCUGCAAUUUUCUUCAUUCAACAGCUUAUUUUAAAGAGGAGAAAACAAUUAUCAGAGAAGGAAAAUAGUUUUUCCUAGCAAUGGUAGAUUGAAAAUAAGGAUUCUAGCCACAGCUGACUGACUCAAGCAUUCUUAAUCAAACACUCAGAAAUUGCAUAGAAGAACUUCAGAAGUCUAUGGAGUGGCUUAGGAUUUGUAAACAAUUUUUUUUGUCUACCUAUGUAAGUCCAUUUUUCUACAGAAAGGGCCCACAGCUUCUCAAAGAGGUCUAUAACUUCCUAGAUGAUGAAAAACUACCACCAUAGUAAGAAUAAGAAGGUAAGGGCUGUGGUUGUGGCUCAGUGGUAGAGAACUUGCCUAAUAUGUGUGAGGCACUGGGUUCGAUCCUCAGCACUGCAUAAAAAUAAAUCAAUAAAAUAAAGGUAUUGUGUCUAUCUACAACUAAAAAUAUAUUUAAAAAAAGAAAAGAAGGUAAAACAUGAGCCACAAUGCUUUUUAAAAUAAUUUUGAUUUAAAAUUUCAAGUUUAUUUUUUAAAUUCCAUUUUUAUUCUAACAAAAAUAACUGUUUAGAAAACAACCAUUUUAACUCUAAUCUUUCCUAGUAUGUUUAUACAGAAAUGCUCCUCAACUUAGAAUAGCUAUACCCUAAUAAUGCCACAAGUUGAAAAUAUAUUAACAGUUAUCCUAGCUGAUCAAUACAACACACACUACAGUCUCAGUUGUUUCCCCUCCUGAUCAGAUAGGGUAGAAUGGGAGCUGCAGCUCGUUGGCACUGCCAGGCUUCUCAAGAGAGUAUCAUAGUGCACAUCACUAGCCAGGGAAAAGAUCAAAAUUCAAAAUCCAAAGUAUAUGUGUAUUACUUUUGUACCAUCAUAAAGUUUUUAAAAAAUUGUAAGGUGAAGCAUCAUAAGUUGGGGACUGUUUGCACUUGAAAUACUAAGAAAUUACUAUGUUUAAAAUGUCUUACAUUCUUUUGGCUGUACAGAUGAAUAAUUCCCAAGAUUUAAUAACUGACUUGUGAAUGUUGAUUGGAGUAUUAUCUCACCAAUCCAUUGAUCCUCAUGAAUAACAACAUCUGAAAAGGGAAAAAAAAUCUGUGCCAUAAAUUCCUUCACAUUCUGGUAAAUUUACUAAUCAUAGCAAAAUAUCAUGCAAAACUCCUACACGCCAGGCAACUAAAGUUCAGAUACAUUAAAUGACUUGCCUAAUGGCAGAAAAUGAUAAAAUGACAAAUCCAAAAUCUUGCAGGUAUGCCUUUACAUAAGUAAAAGAACCACUUGCCUCUGUAUAUUCAAAUUAUGUCAAUAUAGAAACUCACUGCUCUGUAGAGAAAUAUUUAAUGGUUUUCAUUUAAAUAAGGCAAAUGUUGUAAUGUAUAUUUCUGAUAAAUUGAAAAAUAAAUAUUUUAGGAUCUGGAAGCAAAGCAGUUGUUCCAAAGCAGUAGUGUCUAGAAGUAUAAUAAUGUUCAGUGUACAUGGUCCCUUCUGCUUUGAAUAUAUUUGAAUAUAAGGCAGAUUUUAAAGAACUUAGUUAUUUUUCCCUGAAUAGCUUGGUAAUUAUCUUCUAUAAUAUAAAAAGUGAAAUAUUUCAGAGGUAGAGAACAUUUUUCAUUGAGAAAAAAGGGGCUAUCUGAUCUAGGAUAGAGAGAGAAGAAUCAAUUAGUGGAAAUAAACAUAUCAACAGACAGAAAUAGUUCUAGACAAAGCAAAAACUAUAAUAAUAAGUUCUGAACAGAGAAAGAAAGAAAGGAAGGAAGGAAGGAAGGAAGGAAGGAAGAGAGAGAGAGAGAGAGAGAGAGAGAUAACUACCAGGUAGGAUAUAAUCCAUCGACAAAGUGUUAGAAGCAUAAAAUAUCAACAACAGCAAAAGAAUUUGGUAAAUAAGAAAAAACAAGGAGGCAUAAAUUCAAAGUGAUUACUUCCAAAUUUAUAUUCUAAACCCUGUCCUUAGUUUCAGGUUCUUUAAUCUACAACUGCCUAAUGGAUAUUCCCAGAUAGAUUUAGCAACUGGAUUUUGCUUGCUUCCCACACUCAGCAUUGUCCAAAUCUGCUUUCCUUCCAUAUUACCCAUUUCAGGUAAACCAAAACCUGAGGUUAUCCUGCAUCUUCCUUCACACCUUUGUCCCCAAACCCCCACCAGCUGACUCUGCCUAGUGGACCUGCUACUGCCUUUACCCUCCUGCUGCUUUACAUCAUACGUUCCUCUCUUAAUAGUUCCCAGUACUCCUUUCAAUCCAUGCCCCACAAUGCUGACAGGUGAUUUAUUACGAACAUUAAUGGGAUCAAGUGACUUGCUUAAGGAACACUCAGAGAAUCCCCAAUACUUAACCAGGAAGAGUUAGUAAAGCUUUCAAGACUUUUCAUUGCAUUGCAAAUGUAGCUCAGUAGUAGAGUAUUUGUCUAGCAUAUAUGAGGCCCUGAGUUCAAUCCCCACCACUGCAAAACAACAAGAACAACAAAAAAGACUUUUCAUGUUUUGACACUCAGAUUGCUGGCUCUUCAGAAAAAAAGUAGCAAAUGAGAAAUUCCAUAAGAAAUUUCUCCAGGAAUUUUCCUCCUGGAAAACUUCUGAAAACUAAGGUUGCAAAACCUAUGUUAGAUUAGUGGUGAUAGUGGGACAUGGGGAGUGGUAGCCCAGCCUUUGCCUCCUGGUUUCCAUUUUGCCCAUUCACUGCUAUGUCCUAGUUCCUAACUCCUCUUCUUCAGUCUGUUCCUUAAAAUCUGUGAUUUCCCAGAUUAAGCCUACCUCCUUUUCUUUAACUCUAGUCAAUAGUCUCCCACAGACAAGCCAUAUUUAUAGCAUCUCUUAGUUCUACUGUAAUCAAAAACAUCUACUGUGUACUAAAAGGAACAUGUUCUGGGACAUAUCUGUUAUGUAAAAUGUUUCAGUUUGGGGAUGUAUAUCAAUAGAUAGUAUGAGCUAUCCAAGACAAAGAUAUAAUAAUAUACAAUUGGAUGCUAUUGACUAAAACGGGUGCAUUCAUAAAUGUCCAUGCAAAUAUAAUCCACUAUUUAAUUAGGGCUAUGGAAAAAGACUGAUUCUUUUCUAAGUUUCCAUCUUUUCCACACAAAAUAAAACUUAUUCAGAAAACAGUAAACUAGAUAUAUUUUUCCUAAGAAUGUAGAAUAAAAAACUGAUAUUUUUAAAAGGUCUUCAGAUAUAACCUAAAUGUCCUAUAAUAGAAAAAUAGUUAAGUAAAAUCUAAUAAAGUCACUUGAUAGAAUGUAACCUAGUUGUUAACAAUUGUAUAAAACAUUAGGGGGAGAAAUACAGAAAUAGUAAGGUCAAGUUUCCAUCUACUAGGAAAAGGUCUCCGGGAAAUUUCACAAAGUGAAUGACUAUGGCAAAUGACUAUGUAAAAUGACUAUCGUCCAGACUCUAGCCCUCUCUCCAGAGACUCAGAAUGCUAACUCAUCUAAAUUCCAAAAGUGGAUAUCAGCUCUGUAACAUAAGCACAUAUUAAACAGGUUAAUGAGACAAGAAAAUCAGAAUUCAACUUUUUUCAUUUACAAUGAAGUAUUAAUAACUAAAGAAAAUACUACAAUCCCCUCACCUUGUAAACAGUUCUACAGCUGGGAAGCCAGAUUACAAGAGGUAUUCAGCACUGAGUUAGAUAGAAUAGGAGUUAAACAGACUCUCCAACAAUAACAACAUAUAAAUAGUGGUAUGGGACUAUGCUAAGCUUGUUUAUUACAAACUUCCUUUUGCCUCUUUAUUAGAUUAUCCCUCAUAAUUCUAGAAGAACAUCAGAUACAUUAACUAAGGUUCUCAUUUCCUCUAUAAACCAUUUCUAAGACUACUGCUAUUAAGUACACAAAAUUAUAAGAAAAUGAAAAGGAGCCCAAUGAUAUGACCUAAACAUUUACAUGGUGAAUAAAUAAGAGGCAGCAAACAGGGAAAGCUUCUUAAAGAAGAUGUAUAGAAUGGCAGUGCAGAACUAAGCUUAGAACAGAGGCCCAGAAAUGGCAAUGAUACCGGGCAACAUAAGCAGACUAAAGCAAUGCUACGAGACAGCAAUCAUGCUGGGCCCCCAGGAGGCAAACGGUAAAGUAAGAAUCCUCAAAUACCUAAAGUAGGAUAAAACAAACACACACAAAACCAUGGCUUUAUAAAAUAAGUCACCACUAAACUUUGAUAACCUCACCUGUGAGUAAAAUUAUAUCUCCGAGAAAUACUGUAAGUGCCCAAAAUGCAGCAGUUCUCCACAGAAAAACUUUCUUCUUAAUUUCUGAUUGAUCAAUUACUAUAAUUGUUGCUAAAGGCACUUUAGAUCCAGAAUUGGGUCCAGAUUUUAUGUUUAUUUCUUUCAUCUGACUUGGAGUUAACACCAUAGCUAAACAAUUAUACUUCUGACUUUUAGAAUCACAAUUUUUUAUUAAUGAUAUUUUUUUAAUACCCUUAAAUUCAGACACAUUCCUCUGGCUCAUUGCUAUGAUAGAAUCUCUUGCAUUAGAACCCAACUUCAUUUUCUUAGAUACUUGGAGGACUUUAGACAGAGCUUUCGAAUGGCCUGAUUUAUCUUCAGAGCUCCAAUUUCUUUUAACAGCACUUUUGUGAAAGGUAUUUAGUUGGGAACACUGUGUUCCUGAGCGACACAACUCAAUACAGAUCUCAUUUGGUGACAGUUUAUCUUCAGAACUGAAAAGUUCUUGAGAUCCUAUAUUUUCUUCAACAUCUUUUUCAGGGUUUAUGUGAAUGUGGCUACUUUUUUUUUCAGGACAAAUAGGACUAAAAAGUUCUAAGGAAUAUGUUUCUUCAUUUUGUCCUCUUUCAUGUCCUUCUGCAAAAUCAUCAUUAGGCUGAAUAAAACUAUCUUCAGUUAUUCUUAUUUCCCCAUGACUUGCCUUUGGUUCAGUUUCCAUGCUUAUGGUCCCUUUAUUUAUAGAAUUCAGAGCUCUAUCCUCCCUUUGAGCUAAAAAAGCAACCUGGCUGGAGAUCAUUAUACUCAGAAAUUCAGUGUCAGUAGAUAUUUUAAGUUUUGAGACAUUCCUAACUGCUCUAUCAGACCUUGGCUCAUCCACUGCAUUAGAGGAAAAGAAGUCCAGACACUGGUUUUGCAUUUCAUGGUGUUCUGUUGGCUUAUACUUUGUUUCUACAGCUUCAAGAUCUGUAUUAAUUUGUUUAGUACUACCAACCAAAUCCAAUAUAACUGCACAUUUAUGAUCUAACCGAAAGGAAUUUGUUUGAAAGUUUUGACAUAAGUUUGAUUGAUUUUUAGGCUCUUCAUCUGUAAUUUUAUUAUUUUCACAUUGAACCUUUUGAUUCUUUUUUUCUUCAGGUAAAUGCUGAACUGUGCCCUUAAAUCCGUGUAUUUGCACAUUAGAAUUAGUUACAUCACUCAGCCCUGAAGGGUAAAUCUUCUGGGAUUUUAUAUUCUGUGUUUCUGAAGUAAAGUAUGUAAAAUCAUCUUUAACUUGAACAGAUCUACUCACAGAAUUCACUAAACAACAACCACUUAAAAGAUCUGGAGGGCCAGUAAUAGCUUCUGAGACUUGAUAGUCUUUUAGAUUGUUUGGCUCAUGGUUUUUGUCCUUCAGAUGCAAAGAAUGCUGAUUGUACCAAAGUUGAAUUGUUUUCCAGGGGUCUGCAGUGGACAUUAAAGUUGUUUUCUGUGAUACUGUCAUUUCCAGUGGACUAGCUGGAGCACCCCAAAAAAUGUGGACUUGAGAUCCUCCACUCAUAAUUUCUGAUAAAAAUGAAAAAACCCAAAUUAAUUUUUGAUAGACUUUAUAUAUAAUAUUAACUUAAUAAUGUAUCAAAAUAAAAUAUAAUAUAAACUGAAAAAUUAAUAAUAAUGAUUUAUUUUCAUAUGCCAUUUAAUUAUAAAACUGAGACAUACACAAGAAAUCAUAAGAAAAAUCAACUUAGUCACAAAAAAAUCUUUACCUAAAGAUUCUUUCAGAUAAAUAAAAUUAAGAAUAAAACUAGCAUCAUACAGGUAAAUAUGUUCAUUUCUCAUCUUGUAAAAACUUGCCCCAUUUAAAUAACAAGUUAGUAAAAGGGAGGGGUAGCAUUUGUUUAACUUAUUACAAUCACUUUUACAUUACCUGUUUUCUUUAUUCCAUAGAUUAUCUCAGUAAGUUUUGAGCCUCCUUCUUUGAACUGUGAACUCAAUUCCCAAAACCAAAAUAGAAGGCACAAACUGGCAGGCAGAGAAUAUAAAAAAGUAAGAUUUUCUUCAAAAUGUAAAAGUAACUAUAUUUUCUAUUUUCACUUCAAUCUGUUAGUACAAUCAAUAAGAAAUUGUUUCUAUAUUUUUACCUUUUCCAUAAUCAAAUUAAUAAUAAUUAUCUUGUAACAUAUAGAUAAAAGAAAAACUCAGUAUCAUUUAAACUUUUUUCAUUAACUGUGAUAACUUGAAAUAAAUAAAUCUAAGUAAACAUCAUUCUUACUGAGAUAAACAUAAAAGAAUCAUAUCAAUGUUUGUUUAUUCAUAACUGACUUUAAAUAAUCACUUGUUAAAUAGAUCUAUUCCUAGAAUUCAUUGAAAACAUUUUUACAGUGUUAUAUACGGGCAAAAGACAGAAAAGGUUCUCAACAUGAGGGAACUGUUGACCUGGUUUAAAAACAACUGGAGGGGCAACAGUGAACAUAAGUUUGUAGUUUCAAAAUAAUGUAAGCAAUACUAUAACCUAUAACCGGGAAAUAAUGAUCUACUAGGGAAGAGUGCUCUUAUAGAAGGUAGCUACAAGCAUUUCAAACAAGAAAUAGGAUCUAUAAAAGGGCAAAAUUACGAAAGUCUUAUGAAGGACUGAGGACUCUGGUUAGGGUAUAGGGUCCACUGUAAAAACAUAGGAAACAUCAAAUCAUGAAAAGCCCAUGUGGAAGUACAUGCAAAAUGAGGUCUAAGCCAAGCAAUGGCAGCUAUAAUCCCCUGUCACACUUAAUAUUUCUUGAAGAUUUACUCAUUGGCACCUCUUCCUAAUCUGAUCAUAGCUCAUAAUUUCAAUAUCAGUGUGUUUGAUCCUUCCUAUAUCCUGGCUCAUCUCAUGGUUCCUUGACUUCCUCUUCUCUGUUGACUUUCAUUCCACCCUUAUUCAGUCAUCUACUUGUAUAAUCAUACAAAAUACCAUUAUCAAUAACUGCAUACCCUUUCCUAAUUUCAAUAUUGUUUUCAACUUUCUACUCUAUCUUCCAAUUUUUUCCCCUCUAGAUGUACAACUUCAACAGUUCUUUGACCAAAUGGGAUAUACAAUGAAAGCACUUAUCUUACCAGACAGUUUACGGCCUCUUUCUUCAUUUCCCUCCUUAAUCAUCUUAAAUUCUAGAGUUUACCAUAAUCAAUUCCUAUCAUGCUUUUCUAACUCUACUACUUUGAUCUCCAAGGUACUUAUGCAGCUACAUCAUCACCUACGCUGGCCAGAAGUUAACUAGAGAAAAAAAUACACAAUCAUCUGAAAACUGAUCUCAUUUUAAAUUUAUUACCACUAAUCUAAAGGCAGUAUCUAGCAAUACUGUCUUUCCCUAUCCAUUCACUCUUAAAGAUAAUUCUUUUAUACAUUUUUAUAUAAUCUCCAGCAUCUCAUUCCCAACCUCCACUCACAGCUACAUAUUUCAAUUCACAAAUUCCCAACAUACAUCCACCAACCCAGCUCACACCAACAUGGUCCCACUUUCCUACUCAGGCUCUAAUAAUUUUCCCUGGCUCUCCUCCGUCAGGGAUUUUUCUCUGUACUGGAGCAUUUCUAUUAACACAUGAACAUGCUGUUACUUUUCCCCAUGCUGUUAUUCAUCACUUAUUACACCAUGUUUUCUAUUUCUAUCUAUAGCCAAAUUCUUUGAAAGAAUUAUCUAUACUCCCUUUGCUCCUGUUUAUUCCUAAACCCACUGCACCAAGCUUUUGUCCAAAUCUGUAAAGAAACAACAGCUUAUCUUAAGGUCUCCAAUGACCUCCACACUGCCCUCUAUCAACUCUAGUUUUAGCUUAAUUGGCCUAUCAGCAACAUUGACUCAAUUGGGGGGGGAGGGCGGAACCUGGGAUUGAACUCAGGGGCACAGCCACUGAGCCAUAUCCCCAGUCCAAUUUUUGCAUUUUAUUUAGAAACAGGAACUUGCUGAAUUUAGCACCUUGCUUUUGUUGAGGCUGGCUUUGAACUCCGGAUCCUCCUGCCUCAGCCUCCUGAGUCGCUGGGAUUACAGGCAUGUACCACUGUGCCCGGCCACUGACUCCUUCUUUUCAUUAGACUUUAAGGAUAUCAUGUCCUCUUGAAUCUUGACCCAUCUCAAACUCUUACCAAUUGCUCUUUCUAGCUUUUGCAAGCUGCUCCUUUGCUAGCUGCUUCUCAGCUCUUCAAUUUCUUGUACAAGGUCCCAGUACUUGAAUCUCUGAACUCACUACCUACAUUCAGUCUCAGGGCUUUAAAUGGCUUCUACAGGAUAAUAGUCCACAACCUCUCCUUUGAAUUCCUGACUCCUUAUCCAAUUUUCUACUUAUUCCUUGCCAUAAGAUAUCUAAUAGGUAUCCAUACAUAUAAAAGGUAAAGUAGCAGGCCUGAGACUACAUCCUUUUAAAAAAUCUGCAUAUAAAGUGACCUUGGCUGGCUGGUAUCUGUGAAAGAAUGGGAUUUAUGUAAAACAAUAGAGUCAAUCCUGAACACUUGCUUUCUUUCUGGAAGUUUGACAUUUUGGUACUGCUAGACAGAGGCUGGCUAUCUGACUCAGUCUCCUUAAAGAAAUGGCUGAUUCAAGGUUUGGGGCAGGAAAUUACAGAUGAACCUAAAAUAUAUCAUACCAGAAGCCCUGCCCCCUAAAAACAAUUAUAAAAGAUGAUUAGGAUUAUAUCAAAAGAAAUCAGAAUUAACUUGAAGAAGUUCCCAUUGAGCAUAAACAAGGAAAACAGUGUAAUGGGUUAGAUCAUUUCAAACAUGCUUAAAUCCCCAUGAGUAAAUAAAGAAAACUAAAGCAAAUUCUCUCAAUGGUCAUAGGGACUUCUUUAAAGCUGAUAAAUGAGAUUUAAAAAAGAAUUUCAUCCUAUCUUAAUAAUAUCCUAAGAUAACCAACUAUGUGAUGAAAAGAAAUCUUUUUUUUUUUUUUAAUUUAGUGAUACUUAGAAUCAAAUCCAUAACCUCAUGCUUGCUAGGCAAACUCUCUACCACCGAGCUAAAUCCCCAGUCCUUUUUAAAUUUUAAGACAGGGUCUCUCACCAAAUUGCCCAGGACAGUCUUGAACUUGUAAUCCCCCUGCCUCAACCUCCCAAGUAGCUGUAAUAGGAUUGAGCCUCCAUGCCCAGCUAGAAAUCUAUCUUUAUAGAGAUCCUGCUAGUAACCAAAGAAAGAAUGAUAUACUAUCAUCAUUUUGCUAGCUGCGUCUCAGCUCCUCAAUUUCUUGUACAUUUGUGAAUUAGUGGAUCUUUUAGGCAAUGAUCCUUAAUGGUUACUAACCUCACAAAGAUAGAGACUGUAAGAAAGAGUGAAGGAAACCUAUAGAUUGAGACCAAUUACAAUGCAUGGGUCUUAUUUAGAUCCUGACUUGGACAAACAAAUGUGAAAGUAUUAUAAGAAAAUUGGAAAAACUGAAACACUGACUAACAUUUGAUAAAUGAAAGAAUUACUGUCAGUUUAUAGUGAGAUAAGGCUAUUGUGGCUACAUUUAAAAAGCAGUAUGUGCUGAAGAUGAGUCUUUUCAGAUAGAAUAGUAUUCUAUCUCAGAUUUCUUCAUAAUAACAUGAGAGAGGAGGGGCAAAGGGUGUAGACAAAACAAGACUAGCCAUGUGUCAAUAACUGGUGAGAUGAGGGUGAUGAAACACAAAACAAUUCACUGCACUAAUCUAUUUUUGUACAUGUUAAAAUAUCCUACAAUACAAAUCUGUUUGUUUUUAAGAAACCACUGUUUCACAUCCACAGGAUUGAGAAAAAAUUUGAAUAGUCUGACAAUACCCAAGAUUGGAAAACUCUUUUUUUUUUUUUAAAGAGAGAGAGAGAGAGAGAGAGAGAGAGAGAGAAUUUUAAUAUUUAUUUUUUAGGUUUCUUUUUGGCGGACACAACAUUUGUUUGUAUGUGGUGCUGAGGAUCGAACCCGGGCCGCACGCAUGCCAGGCGAGCGCGCUACCGCUUGAGCCAUAUCCCCAGCCUGGAAAACUCUUAUGUUGGAAGAGUUAAUUGGCAAACGGCUUUGAAGUAUAAUUUGGCAAAAUACAGUAAAACUGAGGGCACACAUACCAUUUAAGAGAACAACUGUACUUCCAAGUUUCUACCCUGGCAAAUUCUUACCCAUGUAUACAUAAAAAAACAUGUACAAGAGUGAUCAUGGGAGACUACAAACAAUAAAUUAAAAACAACUUAAACUCCAUGAAGAAGAGACUGGAUAAAACAUGGAAUAUUCAGAGAUACUACAACAUGGCAACAAAAAUAAAUGAAUAAGAGCUACAUGUCAACACAGAUCCAUUUUACAAAUAUAAUCGUAAAUGAAAAUGAAAUUUUAAGCCAGGUGCAGUGGGUGCAUGCCUGUAAUCCCAACAAUUCAGGAGGCAGAGACAGGAGGAUCACAAGUUCAAAGCUAGCCUCAGCAACUGAGCAAAGCUCUAAGCACAUUAGUGAGACCCUGUCUCAAAAUAAAAAAUAAAAAAUGGCUGGGGAUGUGGCUCAGUAGUUAACACCCAUGAGUUCAAUCCAUAGUACCAAAAAAGUAAAUAAAUAAAAUGUAAUUCUAAGAAUACAAUAUAUAGCUAGGUGCAGUACCAUAUCAGCUAUUUGGGACACUAAAGCAGAAGGAUUGCAAGUUUGAGGCCAGCCUCAGUAAUUCAGCCAAACCCUGUCUCAAAAUAAAAAAUAAAAGGGGCUGGAAAUGUAGCUCAGUGGUAAAGCAUCCCUGGGUUAAAUCUCCAGUAGUAAAAAAUAAUAAAAAUAAAAAUAAAUAAAAAGGUCUGGGUAUGUAGCUCGGCACUAGAGGGUCCUUGGGUUCAAUCCCCAAGUACACAUACACACACACACACACAUAUAUAUGUUCAUAUUUCUUUUUAUUCACAUAUAUAUAUUGACUUUUAAAACAACCAAUGUAGGAUUGUGAUUACCUUUGGGAUAGAAUAAAAGGGAUGUGAUCUAGGGUACACAGAAGGUUUCAACUAUACUGAUCACAUUUUAUUUUUUAACUAUAUAUGUUUACAUAAGUAUUCAUUAUAUUGUUCAGAAAUAUUUUAUAAUAUUUUUUGAAUCCUACAGAGAAAAACACUAAGAAGCAAGUUUAUGGAUGAUUUUUAAAAGAGUUUUAUAUUUUAAAAGUUUUACUAUCAUGGAUAAUUAAUGUGUAUUAUUUUCAUAAUAUCAAUUUUUUGGUAAUUCAGGCUUUUCUUUCACAUCUUUCAACAGAAUAUAAUGCUCCAACAGUUUCAUAACAAUGGUCCUAUAGCUAGCAUUUCAGUAUGAAUUGAGAACAAUGAUAGCCACUGUUAAGGAACUAGUAGAUAAAAUAAAUAUACUACAAUUUUCAAUUUGUAAUAAUGAAUUAUUAUUGAGACAAAAUUAUAGUAAUUUUAGGUGUGAAGUUUUGACUCACUGAAAAUCAAAGAACUAAGCAUCACUAUAAUUAUCACAUAUCCCACCUUAAUUUAAUCCUCAUAGAAAGAUUAAUCUGCAUAAGGAGUAACAGAUAUAUGAGAUCUAUUUUUUUUGUUUUUAUGAUUAAUGCCAUUAUUAGAUUUGCCACUAGGAGGCUCCAAAUAGCACAGCAAAAUCCUUCAAGUUCAAGAUAUAUACUGAAACCAAGAAGAGAGGAAUAUAUUAUCCUGAUGAACUGGAGGAAGUACUUAGAUAUAUGCAAAACAAAUUCAUAAAGCUGCCAAUGAUAAAGAACUCUACUCUUUUAAAUUUUUAGUUUCCUCUCCAAUGGUUUCUUCCCUUUAGUUUCAAAAUUUUUUUAAUUAAAAAAUUAAAAAAAACCACUUCUAUCUGGUUUCUUUGUUCUCACUUCUCAUUUAUUUUUCAAGCCCUAAUUUGACUUCUAUCCCAACAAUUUUGCUAUAAUACUUAGAAACCAAUGACUUUCUAAAAGUCAAACAUAAAGGUCAGUUUUCAAACCUUUUCUUACUGCCAUUUGAAACUGUUUAUCAGUUCUUCUUUCCUCAAAUAUUCUACAUUUUUAAUCCUAAAAGACCACCAAAUUAGAAAUAUUUUGUGAUUUAUCUGACAAUCAUUCACACAACACUCAACACUAUUUGUCAGGCAUUAUGGCCAAGUAUUAAGAAUGCACAACAAAAAAAAGGAUCUUUAAAAAGAUAAUUAUAAAGCAAUGAUAUGAGCUACUACAGAAUUAAAAGCAAGGGUGUCCUCAGAAGAGAGAAGCCUGGGACAACACAACCAACAUGUAACUGCCCAUUAUCUGUAUUUUUCAUAGGCUUUUUGGACUAUGGUUAAUCACAAAACUGUUACUUAAUUUGUUAAAGUCAUUAUCAACAUUAUUAAAUCUUCAGAAAAAAGUUGUACUCUAAAGCCCAGGAAAGCUAUCUAAAUUGGAUAACCCAAGAGAUAGGCCUAUUGUUGCUAAUCUCCAAGACAUUUAAAGAGUAUAUGAUACUGCUUUUUUUUUUUUUUUUUUUUUUUUGAGAGAGAGAGAGAGAGAAUUUUAAUAUUUAUUUUUUAGUUCUCAGCAGACACAACAUCUUUGUUUGUAUGUGGUGCUGAGGAUCGAACCUGGGCCGCUCGGGCAUGCCAGGUGAGCGCGCUACUGCUUGAGCCACAUUCCCAGCCCGAUGAUACUGCUUUUGUGUCCUCAAUUAACACUAUCUCCUAAAUGCCUGAAAAUCUAACUUUCAUUUCCUAUCUCUAUUAAGACAAUAGUGAAGUCCAAAUUGCCAACUACACCCAGCACUUCACCAUUUCAGCUGUAAAACUCUUUCUUUCCUUAGUUUCUAGAUCACUGCUCUUUCCUAACUGGUUCUUUCACUGCUCUGAUUUUUCUUUCUCUACUUCUUCCUGGUGCAUCUCUUCAUUUCACUCAUUUCUUUUUUUUUUUAAUUAUUUUUUAUUCUAAUUUGUUAUAUAUGACAGCAGAAUGUAUUAUAAUUUAUAUUACACCUAUAGAGUACAAUUUUUCAUAUCUCUGGUUGUGCAUAAAGUAUAUAUUUUUUUAAAUUUUUUAAUAUUUAUUUAUUUAUUUAUUUAGUUUUCGGCGGCACAACAUCUUUGUUUGUAUGUGGUGCUGAGGAUCGAACCCGGGCCACACGCAUGACAGGCGAGCACGCUACGGCUUGAGCCACAUCCCCAGCCCCCAACAUAAAGUAUAUUCACACUAUUUGUGUCUUCAUACAUGUACUUAGGGUAAUGUUAUCUAUCCAUCACCUCACAUAUUUCUGGAAAUUUGUUUUUUGUUGUUUUUGUUUUUGUUUUUGUUUGUUUUUGGUGCUGGGAAUUGAACUCAGGGGUACUCAACCACUGAGCCACAUCCCCAGCUCUAUUUUGUAUUUUAGUUAGAGACAGGGUCUCACUGAGUUACUUGGUGUCUUGCUCUUCCUAAGGCUGGCUUUGAAUUUACAAUCCUCCUGACUUAGCUUCCAGAGCAACUGGGAUUACAGGGUGUGCCACUGAGCCAGGCUUUUCUGGAGAAUUUUAUCCAAUCCUACCACAUAUCCAACUGUGUCUUACAAAUCUACAUUGAACCAUCUUUUUUCUUUCUCUUUCUCUCUCUCUCCUUUUCAGACCUAUAUUUCUAGCAUCACUACAUUUGACAGGAUCACAGAAGAAUCAAGGGCAAGAUUAAAAUCUCUAUUUGCCUUCUAGGUUCAGAAAGAUGGUGAAGCACAGUGGUAAAACCAAAGUGUCUUGAGAGUUCAAAGAAUCACCCAAAGAAAGAGAUGUCUGAGGUAAAUAAAAAUUCUACAAAGCAUGUUAUUUAUAUGUAACAAUUACUUCAGUGUACCUUCACUUAUUUGUCUGAAUAAAUACCCCUAUAAAUGUAGGAUUCCCACCCUUCCAAAAAUUAACUAGAAAGCCUCAUUUAAAAAUGAGUAUUUUUAAACCUAUUUAUACCAAAGGCUGCUACUACUAAGUACCAGAAUGAAUAGGAGUUAUGAAUGUGUAAGUAAGGGGAUGGACAGUGAUGAGGGCAGGGGAAACAACAUAUUUAUCAUAGCAAAAUUAAAUACAAGAGUUAAGUAACAGAUAACCGAUGAGUCUCAAAGAUUCUAGAAUUCAUUUUGGGUGUAUGCAGAGGGUUAAAGCUCAGUAAGAUACCAGAUGAAACUUGCAAGUACAUAUCCAUUACCACAGUUAAUAAUUACACAAUUGCUCAAUCUGCAGGAGGCCACUUCAGUCGGAAAGACCAAUAUGACCAUAAUCUUUUAUCUUUAGAGUGGUCAGAGUCUGAUGAAUGGGUCAAAGAUUUAUAAAACAGGACGGACUGUAUCAGCAGGUUUUGUCUUUGCAGAAUAGGGCAACUAAAAAAUGCUUAUUACUAAAUACAUGGCAUUAAAAGAGAGCACUUUCUCCAUCUUAUAACAAACUCCAAAACUGCACUAUUGUAGUGGGUUAUAUUAUGAACACUUUUUGUGUCUAUUUCACCAAAAUACCAACAACUAUAAAAUUAUUCAAUAGCAUCAACUAACAAAAUGAAGAAGCAGAAGCAUGGGAUCAUAAUUAAGAACAUGGUUUGGAAACAAAACAGAUAUGAGUUCAAAUCCCUGCUCUGCAACUUACCAAAACUGCAAAAUAGAAAGCCCUGAAGUCAGGUGAUCAUUACAUGGAGUUCAUUAUACUGUCCUUUAUAGAUCUAUAUAUAUUUGGCAAAUCCAUAAUAAUAGAUCAAAUUUUUCUGUCAAAGGAGAAUUAAGUUUGUUAAUUGAAAAUAACAUCAAUUACUUCCAUAGAGUGCUAUAAUGAGAUGGUAUACAGUAAUUACUCAAUAAAUAAUUAGUUUUUUAUAGUCUUAUACCUAGGAAACUCUAUACAUACAUACUUGAUGACAAAAUCCCCUGGAUUUCUUUCAUGUGUUUGUCUUUAAUGUGUAUUUUUACACAGUGGUAAUGAUAAAAUUGAAAUAAUUUGUAUUCUGCUUCAACCAAUACAUGCCUACCCUUCUAUGUCAACUUAUAAUCUUAAUAAUUUUUAAUACUUGCUUGGUAUCUUAAAGAUGAGUCUCAUUUAACCAUUAUUUCUAAUUUAUUAACUUGUUUCUUUUAUUAAUUUGCAUUUUAAUUGACAAGGAAAAAUAGAAUAUCUUUAUGGUAAAACACAUCAUGUUUUGAUAUAUGCAUACAUUGUGAAAUUCAUAAAUCAAGCAACUUAGCAUAUGUAUUACCUUACCUAUAUAUCUUCUAUUUAUCUUGUAUUUGUAUGAAACUUAAAAUCUACUCUUAGCAAUUUUCAACUAUAUAUUAACUUCAAUCACUGUAAUGUAUAUUAACUUGUUUUCAAUUUAUCAUUAUGAAAAAUAAUGCUACAAUAAAUUAUUUAGCUCAUUUAGAUCACUUUUCAAUUAUUUUCUUUUGAUAAACUCCUAGGUAUGGGAUUACUAGAUUCAUUUUAUGUACAUUUUAUGACUAUUAAUAUUUAUUAUAUUGCUGUUUGCUAAAGAACUGGAUGGCUUAUAAUGCCACCAACAAUACCUGAGGGUACCAGUCUUACCAUAAUAUUGUUAGUAUCUUAAAAAGUAAUUUUGUGUAGCCAGGCAUGGUGGUACACACCUGUAAUCCCAGCAACUCAGCAAGCUGAGGCAGGAGGAUUGCAAAGUUCAAGGCCAGCCUCAGUAAUUUACUGAGACCUCAGCAACUUUGUAAGACCCUGUCUCAAAAAAUAAAAAGGACUGGGGAUAUAGCUCUGUGGUAAAGUGCCCCUGGAUUCAAUUCCCAGUACCAAAAAAAAAAAAAAAAAAAAAGUAAUUUUGCUAGUAAGGAUAUUAAGGUACUUUACUAUUGUUUUAUUUGCAUUUCUCUAGUUAUUUGCAAAAUUAAAAAAGAGUGAAUUUUCAAUUAUACGUGGAUUAAUACUUUUAAUACAUGAGGAAUAUGCAAGCAUGUGUACACAAAGAUACACAAAGCAACAAAAAUAGGUUAGAGGGACUGGGGAUGUGGCUCAAGCGGUAGGGUGCUUGCCUGGCAAGUGCGGGGCGCUGGGUUCGAUCCUCAGCACCACAUAAAGAUGUUGUGUCCGCCGAAAACUAAAAAAAAAUAAAUAUUUAAAAAAAUUCUCUCUCUCAAAAAAAAAAAAAAAACAGGUUGGGAAGCAUAUAUCAUAGGGGAAAAAUGUACAUGGUUUGAAACACGGAUGACAUCCAUCCUCUUCAUAAAGUGCAAGAAAAUUUUAUAAAUUAAUGAGAAACAUUUUCUACCUAUCAAACUAGCAAAGAUUCAUUAAAAGAGUACAGGGUACAGGGCAAUGGUUUAUACCGGUAGGAGUUUAAACUAGUAAAACAUUUCUGGAGGGCAAUAUGGCAAUGUACGUCAAAGGUCUGAAAAUUCUGUCUCCCUUUGGUCUCACAAUUAUAAUUCUAGGAAUUUAACAAAAAGAAAUAUAUUAUAAACAUUCUCACAAAUUCACCUACAGGAUUUUCGUAGCACUGUUCUUUAUAAUGUUAGGAAUAUAUCCAUCAGUUGAGGUCUGGUUAUACAAAUUAUGGCAGAUCCAAACAAAAGCAAACAAUACAGCCAUUUACAAUAAUUAAGAAUAUAGUCAUAUAAAAAUUUGUUCUCAAUACAGUGAUAGGUAAACAAGGAAACUAUAAAAAAUUAGAUACAGAAAAUUUCGUUUUACAUAUAUAUUUGAAAAAGAUCAAUGUCCAUUUUACUACUAUUUACACUGAGGUUAAAAUACUUAUGUGUUCUCUGUGAUGACUGAUACAAGUGGUGGUAAAAAAGAAAAAAAAGAAACAGUUUUUGCCAUACAUGGUGGCACAUAAAAAUUUUUAAAAAAGCAGAGGAUGUAGCUUAGUGAUAAAGUGCUCCUGGUUUCCAUCCCUAGUACCAAAAACAAAAACAAAAAGAGAAAGAGUUUUGUUUUGUUUUGUUUUGGGGAUACUAGGGAUUAAACUCAGGGGCACUCAACCACUGAGCCACAUCCCCAGCCCUAUUUUGUAUUUUUUUAAAAAUAUUUAUUUUUUUUAGUUGUAGUUGGACACUAUACUUUUAUUUUAUUUGUUCAUUUUUUAAUAUGGUGCUGAGGAUCUAGUCCAGGGCCUCGAAUGUGCUAGGAGAAUGCUCUACUGCUAAGCCACAUAAAAAUAAAGAUACUAUGUGUUCAUCUACAACAUGUAUAUAUAUAUACAUACAUACACAUAUAUACACAUAUAAUAUAAAAAAAAAAGAAAGUGCAUAGGGCUAGGUAUAAAGCUACAGGGUCUCACUGAGUUGCUUAGCACCUCACUUUCACUGAGGCUGGCUUUGAACUCACACGCCUUCUGUCUCAGUCUCCCAAACCACUGGGAUUACAGGUGUGCUCCACUAGCCCAGCUGAGUUUUUGUAUUAUUUAACUUCAUUUAACCAAUCCAAUUUGUUGUCUUAAUUCAUUUGUACUAAUAAAUAACUGUGAGUACUAGUAAUUCAUAUACUACAUACAUUUAUGCUAAACUCUAUUCUUAAGAAUUACUAAUAGUGGGGCUGGGGACAUAGCUCAGUUGGUAGGGUGCUUGCCUCGCAUGCACAAGGCCCUGGGUUCAAUCCUCAGCACCACCAAAAGAAAAAAAAAAAAAAAAGAAUUACUAAUAGUUACUAGACACUAGUAUCAGAUUUUCCACAUUUUAUAUUAAUUGUGAAAGGUUAUAAGCUACCCAUAUAUGUUAUUUGUACCUCAAAAAGAAAAGCAAUUGAAGUUUAAAGCUUUUACUCAUUCCUGUAUCUGAAGUAAAAGCUACUAAAACAAACCUGAGCAGACAAUUAAUUUCCUUUUUUAAAAAUGUUGUAGAUGGACACAGUAACUUUAUUUAUUUAUGUGGUACUGAGGAUCAAAUCCAGUGCCUCACAGGUGUUAGGUGAAUGCUCUACCAAUAAGCCACAACCUCAGUCCCUGGACAAUUAAUUUUUUAAAUUUUCUUUCCUAAGUACUGAUUUCCUUUGUAGUUGUCUUUGGUAUUCAUAUAAAACAUCUAUAAUCAUAUUUUUAUCAUCACCUCUUAUCACCACCUAAGGUUAGUACAGUGCAAGUGAGCCUCUUAUCCCUGCUUGCAAUACAAAUGGGACUUUCUCCCUCUCACUUUCCAUUACAGGGCACUUGCCUUCUUCCAAUAAAGUCCAAGGAUUUAAAAGGCAAGUGAACCUUAAUCUAGCUUUUUGCUCCCCACCUUAUAAAUAGGUUGACACACAGUGGUAGAGGGGCGCUUUACCACUGAGCUUUAUAGCUAGCCCUAUGCACUUUCUUUUUUUUUAUAUUAUUUAUAUAUAUAUAUAUAUGUGAUGAACACAUAGUAUCUUUAUUUUUAUGUGGUGCCAAGGAUCAAACCCAGUGCCUCACGCAUGCAAGGUAAGUGCUUUACCACUGACCUACAGCCCCAGCCCCCAUCCACUUUCUUAAUGACAUAUUUUAAAGAAUGCAAUUUUAAUUUAAAUAAAUUCUAAUUAAUCAAUAUUUUUUCUUAUUCCAAUCUUUUUUAUCUUAGCUUGUUAUCCAAGAAAUAUUCCAGGGUCAUAAGGUUAUUUUCCUUUUGAAAUUCCUAGAAGGUAUGGCAGUUUAAAAAGAUAUUAACAAGUUAGGCACAAUGCCUAAAAACUCAGAGGCUGAAGCAGAGGAUCUCAGGUUUAAGGCCAGCCUGAGCAAUUUAGGGAGACCCUGUAUCAAAAUUUAAAAGAAAAAAAAAAAUAACUGGGGAUGUAGCUCAGUGGUGAAGUGCCCAGGUUCAAUACCCAUUACAAAAAAAAAAAAAAAAAAAAAAAGUCCACAAAUUCUUUGAUACUCCUCCUGUAACAGGGGUUCAUUUAAAACCAUCCCUUGCUCUCUCCUCUCCUCUUUGCCUUCCACCCCUCCCUAAAUCAGCUUGGCUGAACAAAAGCCUUUCCUAAGGCUUUAGUUAACUAGCUACAGGUCAUAUUGAUGUUACUUCAAGAGAAAACACAUCUGGAUGCCAAAGACCUUGACCAAUACAAGGACUCCCUGCCUACUGUUUCACUGUACACCCUUUUCUACUAUAAAAGCUCUUUGCAUACUAAAACCCACAAAGAUGGAGAUCUGAGAAGCAAAAAAGUCUCUUCUUUCUUUCCUAGGACUAGCUAAAUAAACCCAUUUCCUCUAACUAACUUGUCUCCAGAUGAGCAAUGAGUAGCAUGACAUCCAUAAUUUCAGUUAACAUUCAAGAGCUACCAUGUUAGAGUGCUAUUGCCAGGUGCAGUGGUACAUACCUGUAGUCCCAGAUACUCAAGAAUCUAAGGCAAGAGGAUCACUUGAGCUCAGGAGUUACAGGCCAGCUUGGGCAACAAACAGACCCCAUUUCUAAAAGGAAAGAAAACAAAAUUACAUAAGCUUAAUUCCUCUAACCUUGAAUACAGGCUGGAGUAAUGAAUAGAAUACAGUAAAGUGACAGUGUGUGACUUUCAAGACUGUCAUAAAAGACACUCAGCUUCCUCCUUGCUCUCUCUCUUGUAUCACUCACUCUUGAGGGAAGACAGCUACCAGGUCCUAAGGGCACUUGAGUGAGCGGUUCUCCAACUCCAAUCCAGCCUUCAGAUGACUCUACUUGUUACCAUCUUGACUGCAACCUUAUAAGGGAUCUAAGCCAGAAUUACCUAGCUAAGGUCCUCCUGUGUUUUCGACACAGAAAAACUGCAAAGUAAUAAAUAUCUGUUGCUUUAAGCCACUAAAUAUUGGGAAAUUUGUUAUAUAGAAAGAGAUGAUACAGAAAUUUUAUAGUUUUUAUACUCAGAUUUUAGGUAUAUGAUGAAAGGCAAUUCCAUUAGUUUCUGUGUAUGGAGUAAGUAGGAAUACUAGUUCAUUGUUUCCCACAUAGAUAUGAAGGUAGAAUGACAUUUUUUUUUUUUUCCUGCUGGACUGACUUGGCACUUGGGUGGGAAUAAGUGACUGUGUAUUUCUGAGUUCUCCAUUGUGUUCUAUUGAUAUGUACAUCCUUACACCAAGAUCACUCUGCUUUGUUUACUGUAGCUUUAAAGGAAAUCCUGGUAUCAGGAAAUAAAAGGCCUCUGACUUUGUCUUUUUUUUGUACUUGUAGAUGGACGAAUGCCUUUAUUUUUUUACUUGUUUAUUUGUAGGUAGUGCUAAGGAUGGAACCCAGUGCCUCACGCAUGCUAGGUAAGCACUCUGUAUUUUUUCAAAAUUAUUUUGACUAUCCUUAGUCUUUUACAUUUCGGUAAAUUUAUUGAAUCAUCUUGUUUAUUUCUUCAAAGACCACCAAGAUGUUAAUGAAAACUGUAUUUAAAUCUGUAGAUCACUUGGAAAAAAUUCCAUUUUAACAAUGCAGUCUUUCAGUUCAUGACUAUGUCAACAUUUCUUUCCCUCUCCCCCAACCCUCUAUUGUUUAACUUACUUAACAGUGUUUCACACUUCGAGGUUGAGAGCAUAUUCUUAGAUUUAUUCAUAGGUACUUGGUUUUUGUAAUGUCAUUGUAAACAAUUUUUCAGUUUACAAAUUGUUCAUUGCUAUUACAGAGAACUACAAAUGAUUUCUAUGGAUUGACUUUGCUAAAUUCACUUACUAGAAUUGGUUUGUGUAAGUUUCAAAGAGUUUUCUAUGUAUAUAAUCAUGUCAUAUGUAAAUAACAGUUUUACUUCCUCUUAGUUUUUCAUGCCUUACUUUAUUUCUUUCUUUUGACCUCUUAUACUGUCUAGGUCCACUAGUUCAAUGCCAAAUAGAAGUGGUAAAAGAGAAAAUAUAACCAUAUUAUUUUAAUACAUAUAGUGUCCCUACCUAUGGUUGACAAGUAUUUUCUGUAAAGGGUCAGAUAGUAAAUAUUUUAGGCUUUUAAGUCCAUACAGUAUGUUCCAACUGUUCUAUGCUACUGAUAUAGUGGGACAGCAAACAGAGACAAUAUUUAAACAAAUGAGCAUAGUUAUAUUCCAAUAAUACUUUACUUACAGCCACUGAAAUUUGAAUUUCCUAUUAUUUUCACACGUCAUAAAGUUUCCUUUGGUUUUUGUUGAACCAUUUUAAUAUGUAAGGAGUAUUUUUAAGUCACUUGCCACAGUAAGAACAGAUUAUGUGCUGAGUUUGGCCUACAGACCAAAGAUCAUUGAUCCCUUAUUUUUAUAUUGAUUUAUCACCUUUCUUCUUGUCUAAUAUAUACAAUGUUUCCCUCUAAACAAUACUUUUACUACAUUAUUAAUUCUAUCAUUUUGACAUUGUACUAUGUUUUUAGCCACUGCUAUAGAAUUUCAAAUUUAACAAUUAAAUCUUCAAAUAACACUAUACCACUUAACCUAGUAUAAGAAUAUUACAAUUGCAUUCAUCCAUUUUUCCUACUAUUCUUUAUGCUAUUUUAUCAUAAUAUUUUAUAUAAAUAAUAUAAAUUUUUAUAUAAAAUGUAUUAUAUGUGCUAUGUACAUGGUAUACUUAUGAUACAGAUGGUCCUUGACUUACGAUAGGUUAUAUCCUGAUAAACUGAUCUUAAGUUAAAAAUAUCAUGUUAAAAAUGGAUUUAAGCCACAUGUAGUAACACGACACAUGCCUGUAAUCUCAAUGACUUGGGAGGCUAGGGCAGGAGGAUUGCAGAUUUAAAGCCAGCCUUGGCAACUUAAAGAGGCCUAAGCAACUUAUCAAGACCCUAUCUCAAAAGGUUAAAAAAAAAAAAACAUAAAAGGGCUGGGGAUGUGAAUCAGUGGUUCCCUGGAUUCAAUUCCUAGUACCAAAAAACAAAAAAGGACUUAUACUGGAAUAGCUCUUUUUCUCACUACCUUUAGAAUAAACCAACCCUGCCAACACCGUCAUUUCAGAUUUCUAGCCCCUAGAAUUGUGAAACAAUAUAUCUCUGGAAGCCACCCACUCUGUGGUACUUUGUCAUAGCAGCCUGAGCAAACUAUUUUGCAGGGCAUUUAUUUAUGUUCAGGACUUUGGGAGAUAAGGAACUUACAGAUUGGUUGCUUUCAAAUCUCUUGAAAUACAAGUUUAAUUAUAAUUAGUAAAGGAUUAUUACACAAAAAAUAACCCCUGAAUAUUCAGGAAGAAUUACUGUGUGCUUAGAAAAUUAACUGUAAUCUCUUUAAAAAAUAGAAAAUAGCUUACAAUCACAGUCAAAAAGAAAUUGUCCAUUAACUAAUAGAAAAGGUGCAACCUAAAUCACAUUCUUACUUAUAUGGUAACUCCAAAACUACCACAGGUUUGGGAUAUGUGUUUAUUUUAAAAUAAAAGCAAAUCUCAUCAAAUCAGUUUACAGAAAAUAUGGGGAAUAAAAGAACAAUACCACAUAGAAGCAAAAUGAGAAUGUGGGACUUUCUAUAAGACAAAUGGCAGGGUUUCAUCAAUAAAUAAGUGGCAAAGAACCAAAACAGGAUGAUGUUUUAAAGGAGAGCUAAGAGAUCAACCAAAUGUCAUGUUUAGAACACAUCUGAAUCAGUAAAAAAGGUAUUUUUGAGAAACAGGACAAAUCUAACAUAGACUUAGAUAACACUAAGGAAUAUUUUAUUACAUAAAAAAAUGAAUUCAUCAGACAACCUACUGAACAUUCUAGCUUAGCAACACAGUACACUGUAGAAGAUCAGUUGUUUGUCUUCAUGAUCACGUGGCUGAUUAGGAGCUGUUGCUGCCCAGCAUCACCAGAGGAUCCUACUAUAUAUCACUAGCCUAGAAAAGGAUCAUAUUCAAAAUUCAAAGUACGGGUUCUACUAAAUGCUUAUUGCUUUCCCACCAUCAUGAAGUCAAAAAAUCAUAUGUCAGGGACCAUCAGUGUAUGACAAAUACAUGAAAUAUCAUAAACCCCCCCAAAUAUGGUACCAAUUAUUCUUCCUUUAUAUAAACAAUUAUCCUUUAGAGAUUAAGAAUUAGAAAACCACAUUAUUACCAUUUCUGGUUCUAUCUAUACAUUCAAUUUCCUUUCCAGUAUCAUUUUGUUUCUGUCUAAAAAGUUAUAAACUUUGUGUGGGGGAGGGGACUGGAGAUUGAACUCAGGGGCCCUCAACCACUGAGCCACAUCCCCAGCCCUGUUUUGUAUUUUAUUUAGAGACAGGGUCUCACUGAGUUGCUUAUUGACUUGCUUUUGCUGAAGCUGGCUUUGAACUCUCAAUCCUCCUGCCUCUGCCUCUGGAGCCACUAGGAUUACAGGUGUGUGCCAUCUCGAUCUGCUAAGUUUUAACAUUUUUGUAACUCAGAUGUGCUGGCAAUAAAUCCUCACAUCUUUGUUAGUCUCAAAAAAUAUAUUUUUUAAAGAUAUUUUUCACUAAUUAUGGAAAUCUAGAUGGACAGUAUUUAUUUGUCUUUCGGUACUUUGAAAAGAAUGUUCCAAUGUCUUCUAGCUUGCAUAGAUUAUAAUCAAUCUUAUUGUCUGUGGUGGGGCGAGGUGCUGGGCAUCAAUCAAACUCAGGGCCUUGCACAUGUUGGGCAAGUGCUCUGCCACUGAGCUCACCCCCAACCUAAAAUCUUAUUGUCUUAAUUAAUUAGUUAGGGCUGCUAUAACAAAAUACCAUGGACUGGGUGGCUUACAAAAAUGGAAAUUUAUUUCUCACAAUUCCAGAGUCUACAAGUUUGAGACAGGGUGCUAACACCCUGGUUACAGACUUCUUUGUGAUCUCACAUGGUGGAAAAGAACACAAGAGAAAUCUAUGAGGUUCCUAUCACAAAAACAGAGAGACAGAAAGAUUCCCACUCCUUAAGUGAGGACUAUGCAUAUAUCAAUACUUUCCAAAAGUACAAAUGCAAAAAGAGGGAAAAUAGGGUAACUUUACAGUACAGAAAACUGACACACACUACCUCAGCCAGAUGAUCAGGGUCAACAUGAUCAAUAAGUCAUAUUAAGCAGAGCACAAUGGCACAUGCCUGUGAUCACAGAGGCUUGGGAGGCUAAGGAAGGAGGGUUGCAAGUUCAAAGCCAUCUUGAGCAACUCAGUUUGGCCCUAAGGAACUUAGUGAGACCCUAAGCAAUUCAGCCAGACUCUGUCUCAAAAAAUAAAAAGAGAUGGGAAUAUGGAUAGUGAUUAAGUACCCUUGGAUUCAAUCCCCAGUAUCAAAAACAAAAACAAGUCAUGUUGACAAUAUGUCUGUUUCAUACAGUAUAAUGAAAAGGGUACUCAGACCUAGGCCUUCCCCAAAACCACAAACACCAUUCUAAUCAUGUGAAAAACUCCAGACAAAUACCAAAAUAAGGAGAUGUUCUACAACUACCUGAGUAAUACUAACUCAAAACUUUCAAAAGCAGGCUAUGGGUGUGCUCAAUGGUAGAGAGCUUGACUGUAUGAAGUCCUGGAUGUAUGAAGGAUGUAUGAAGCCUGGGUUUGAUCCCCAGCACAUCAUGGGCAUUACAAACAAGAAGUCAGAGAAAUUGUCAUAGCUAAGAAAAGCCUAAGGAGACAUGACAACUAAACAUAAUGUGGUACCUAGGAUGGGAUUCUGAAGCUGAAAAAGGGCAUUAGAUUAAAAAAAGGACUUAGAUAAUAACAUAUCAACAUUAGCUCAUUAAUUAUAGCGUGUUUUUUUUUUUCUUUCUUUUGCAGUACUAAGGAUUGAACCCAGGGUCUUAUACAUGCAAGGCAAACACACAACCACUGAGCUACAUCCCCAGACCUAGCUCAUUAAUUUUAACAAAUAUACCUUUCUAAUAUCAGCUGUUAAUUAAUAAUUGGGAGAAAAGGAUACAGGGCAGAUAGGCAUCUGUGAAAUUUUUUGAUAAAUAUAAAAUUAUUAAAAAAAAAAAAACUAUGGGAGUUUUCUGGUAUUUUGUUUUGGCACUUGGGGUUGAACCCAGGACCUCAUGGUGCUGCCUUAACCUUAGGAGAGGUUCCAUAUGACUCAAAUAGGAGUUCUGUCAAAUAGGCAAGCUCUCUCUAUUCUAAAUUACACCCCUAGUCCUUUUUAAAAAAAUUUUCUUUUUGGGAGUACUGGGAAUUUAACUCAGGGUCCCUCAACCACUGAGCCACAUUCUCAGCCCUAUUUUGUAUUUUAUUUAGAGACAAGGUCUCACUGAGUUUCUUAGCAACUUGCUGUUCCUGAGGCUGGCUUUGAACUUGAGAUCCUCCUGCCUCAGCCUCCUGAGCUACUGGGAUUACAGGUGUACAGGUGUGAACCACCAUGUCCAGCUCCUUUUUUUUUUCCUCUUUUUUCUUCAGGUACUGGAGAUUGAAUCCAGGAGCACUUAACUACUGAGCCACAACCCCAGCCCUAUUUUGUAUUUUAUUUAGAGACAGGGUCUCACUGAGUUGCUUAGCAACUUGUUCCUGAGGCUGGCUUUAAACUCUCAAUCCUCCUGCUUCCACCUCCAAACUGCUGGGAUUAUAGGCAUGUGCCACCACGCCCGGAACGCCUAGCUCCUUUUAAAAUUUUGAGGCAGAGUUUUGCUAAAUUGCCACAGCUAACCCCAAACUCUCUAUCUUCCUGUCUCAGGCUGCCCAGCAACUGGGAUUACAGGCAUGUGUCACUGUACCCUGCUGAGAGCUCUCUUUUUUAUUUACUUUUUUGCUGCCUGGGAUUAAACCUAGGGGCCCUUAACCACUGAACCACAUCCCCAGUCCUUUUUAUUUUUUAUUUGAGACAGGGUCUCACUAAGUUUCCUAGGGUCUUGCUAAAUUGCUGAGCCUGGUUUUGAACUUGCAAUCCUUCUGCCUCAACCUCUCUAGUUGCUGGGAUUACAGGUAUGUGCCAAUGUGCCCUCUGGAAACUCUCCUUUUUAAAACACAACUGCCAGGCUUUUGGUUUGCUAGAGUGUUCUCUUAGAUCUCUGGGUACCAGACCUUGUUUUCUGCAGUUCAGGUGCUCUCUUUCAGCCCUGUUCCUCCUCAUUGUCCUUCCUUUUUUUGUUUGUUUGCAGUGCUGGAGAUGGAACCCAGGGCCUCACACAUACCAGGCAGGCAAGCAAGUGCUCUACCACUGAGCCACAUCCCCAGUCCCCACCUUCUUUUGGAGGUCAGCUUUCCUACACUGGAUGGUAGCUUAAUGUCUCUCACCUCUCUAGCCCUUUCCUCAGUCAUUACUGGUUGAAUACAGGGAGUUCCAGUGUACAAGGUAGGGGUCUCAACCCCAGAUCUUUGUCUGUCUUCAGCCUUCUAGAACUGAAAAUCUGAAGAGCAUGUGCUAGUUUCUCUCAGUGCUGCCUUAACUUUAGGAGAGGUUCCAUAUGACUCAGAUAGGAGUUCUGUCAUUCUGUGAAGCAUUCAGUGAAGACCUAUGAUUAAGAUAAGAGCAAGAGGUAGGUUCUUUGGUACAAGAGCUGAUGUUCCUCAGCUGAUGUUCCACAGGAUUCUAUCCUGUUGCAUUAGUCCACAUGCAGAUAUAGCUUAGUAGUAGAGUGCUUGCUUAGCAUGUUCUAGGUUCUAGGUUCAAUACCCAGAACCAGGAAAAAAAAAGCAGGGAGAAGGAGUACGAAGAAGAUGAUAAACAGAAAGAAAGAGGAGGAAAAAAGAAAGAAGACAAUUUGCUGAUUCCUUUCAUCCCAUCUAAGGCAGAUUCCUAUUCCUUAGGCUGUUUUAUCUCAGAGCAGCCAUGGGUUUCUUCUUUAUUAUGAAGGUUGAAUUGUUUUCUGAAUCAUUCGUUUGGUUCAUUUAGGUUUCCAUGUAUCCUUGAUUCUCUGGUAGGUUUGUAAAAAUUUCAGUUCUAAUUUGGCUUCUAAGGGUUUUCAGGGAAAGAACAAUAAUAUCAUGCAACUUUGUACAUCUGAAAAGCAAGGAGACUUCUUGCCCCGUUUUGGAUGGUUCCCGCCCUGGUAUACUAAAGUGUCUGUACUCAAAUAUCACCUUUUCAAAGACACUUCCCCGACUCCAUUUAAAAAGUCUCACAGAUACCAGUCACCCUUCAUCUCCAUACCCUACUCUUUACUUUUCUUCCAUUGCCCUCAUCUCUCUGAAAUGUACUUGUCUCACUUCUUUAGCUGUCUCCUCUACUAGAAGUUAGGUUCCAUAAUGACAUGAAUUUUGUUUUUCUUAUUUGUCAGUAUAUCCACAGGAGCAAAUAUGAUUGCUCAUAAUUUUAGCUUGCCUUGAAACUAAUUAAAUAUAAAAUUAUUAUUGUACUUUAUAAAGUACUUAUUAUAGAUACUUUUCAUAAUAGUGUAAGAGAAUUACAAAAUCUCUCAGUGAAAAGCAAACAUUAUUCAUUGCUUGCAAUGUUGGCUAUAAAUAUUAUUAAUAUGGUUAGUACUUUAUCACUUUUUAUCUUUGUUUAUUUAUUUGUUCUUUUUAGUUAUAUAUGACAGUAGAAUGUAUUUUUGCCUAUCAUACAUACAUGGAGUAUAAUUUCCCAUUCUUAUAGUUGUAAAUGAUGUAGAGUUACACUGGUCAUGUAUAAAUAAACAUAGGAAAGUUCUCUUUGAUUCAUUCUGUUGUCUUUCUUAUUCCCAUCCCCCUCCAUUCCCUUCAUUCCCUUUUGUCUAAUCCAAUGAACUUCUAUUCUCCCCUCUCUCUUACUGUAUGUUAGCAUCAAAGGCAACACUUGGCUUUUGAUUUGGGGAGACUGACUUAUUUCACUUAGCAUGAUAGCCUCCAGUUCCAUCCAUUUACUGGAAAAUGCCAUAAAUUCGUAAUUCUUUAUGGCCGAGUAAUAUUGCAUUGUGUAUAUGCACCACAUGUAUUUUUUAUAUCACUGAAACUAGCCAGGCAUGGUGGCACAUUCCUAUAAUCCCAGUUACUUGCUACCCAGGGGCAGGGAGACUGAGGCAGGAGUGUCAUAAAUUCCUGGACAGCUUUGGCAAUUUAGCAAGAUCCCUCCUCUAAAAAAAACAGGGUUGGGGAUAUAGUUCAAUGGUAGAGUGCCCCUGAGUUCAAUCCCCAUAACACCACAAAAAAAAAAAAAAAAAAAAAAGAUUCUUGUUACACUGAAGAACGAAGUGUGUCUUAAAAAUUACUCAUACUUUAUCUUACACUUUUUUGUCAAUCAUUCACUCUAAGCAAGUUAUCAAUUAAAAUGAAAAACUUUGUACAAACUAAUUCAGUAAUGCUGAGGUAAAUACUAUUCAAACUCAUAAGAGGUAAGUUCUCCAACUUAUACACAGAUUGUGUGUUCUCCCAGUUGUUAUGUUUUGUUAUUAAAACUUAAAAAACAUUUUUUACAAACAGAAAAAAUUAUGAAAUUAAGUUUAGAUACUGGACAAUAAACAGAGGUCAAUUUAACCCAUAAAGUACCUAAGAACCACAGAAAUGGAAAGGAAUAAGCAUAAUUGUUAGGUAACUUUCAACCACUUCUUUUCCUUUGUGCUCCCCACAACUAGCAAAAGGCUGCUGGGGCUGGGUUGAUUUUUCUGAGAUAGGAAUUGCACAACAUCUUGGUAAACACAAAGAGUAUAUAACAAAGUACUUGCCUUCUGUCUUUAAAAUAUUCAUUUAAUGAAUAAUGAAUAAGAAUUCAGACCACUAUUCAACCACCCUGCUUCUAUAAGGAAAUGCAUUAUGAUUUCCAACUAAAUGAAUAUUUUCCUUAAUCUUGGCAGCAAGAUAAAAGUUGAGCACCAAGAAUUAUGGAGUGUAUGCAGGUACUCCCAGAAAUUUCCUAGAAAUCACAUUUUGGUCACUCAUACUGUUUCUAAAUGUAUAAAUAAUUAAAUUGGGAUUCCAUAAUAUAAAACUUGCCCUCCAAAAUUUCCCUAGCUUCUUUCUCCUUACCAAUAUUUUAAAUAAAAAUAGCCACCAACAUUUUAUUUGAAUCAAUUAUUUGCAGUUUCUAUUUCUAUAUUAACUAUAAUUAUAGUUAGUACAGAAGGUUAUCGAUCAUAAACUUAAUACAAUGGCCAAAAACAAUACAAAAAAGUAAUUACAAGAGUCAAUAUCCAAAUAAAAAUCUGAGUAAACGCAAUAUUUCUAUAAUGCAAGUGCAACUAUCUAUACUUCAACAUUCCCAAAAUGAGGUAGACAAAGGUAUACAACACAAAGUUAUUCAGUGACAAUAACAAAUUAUUUUAGUCAUCAAAAUAACUGCAAAAAUUACUGAAAAUUGUAAGUUAUAAUUACAGAAUUUAGUAGACAACCUAUUCAAUGUCCAAAGUGAUUACUGACCUUCAUAUUUUAAAACCUGAAAAAAAUUUACCUAAGAAAGGAAACAAUUCAAUAUCUGUAAUAUAUCUGCAAAGGAAUAGGAUGAUUUAUCCAGAUACACAAAGUUCCCUUCAAACUUUAUGGAAUGAAUGAUAAUCACAUUUUUUUCUUCCAAAUAUAAAAUUCACCUGGAUUAACACCUGAAAUAAGAUAAGGCAUAAAGCCACCUAAUCUAGCAUUCAAAAUUACUCCAUAAAAGUUAUUUCUCUAGAGUGCAUUUUCUGCUUUAAAAAUCCUUUUGGGAGUGCUGUGGGGAAUAUUGAUAAUUGAACCCAGGGGCACUUUACUACUGAACUACAACUCCAGUCCUUUGCUUAUUAUUAUUAUUAUUAUUUUUAGACAAAUUCUCACAAAGUUCCUGAAGAUCUCUCUGAGUUGCUAAGGCUGAACUUGAACUUAAGACCCUUUUACCUCUGACACCUGAGUCUCUGGGAUUACAGGUGUGCACCACCACUUGUGGCUCUGCUUUAAUAUUUUAUACUUCCAAUGAAACCAUUUUAUUUUACCUCUCUACAAUGACUUCAUUUUAUGCUAAUUAGUAAAAGCUGUAUAAGCAUUUGUUUAUUACAAAUGAAAGAGACUGAACUGACAAUGACAGUGAAAGACAGCAACAGAGAGAGAGACAACGGCAUCAGUGGAGACAGAAUGUCUCUUAACCACCUAAGACAUUAACACAUUAAUUAACACAAUAUCUUUCACAGAAACAUGAUUGUGUGUGUAUGUAUAUUUCACAUGAUAAACACAAUCAGCCACUGAGCUUUACUCCCUGCCCUCACAUAAAGAUUUAAGUGAUAAGUGAUGUCUUUAUACGAUGAUUGAAAAUUUUUAUUUUACAUUCAAGAAAAUUUAAUUACAAUUAAUUAGGUCUACUCCCAGUUUCUUCAACUUUUCAUCAAUUUUUUAUUCAUAAAAAAAUUUCAAGUAUUAUCUCAGACAUUAUAACCAACAGAAUAAUUUUUGCUUGCUUGAAAGUCCAUUUUCAAAUCCAAGAUUCAUAUCUUAAGAUUACACCCCUGAUAAACUACAAAUUUAUAGUUAAAUUUUGAUUGAAAAAUAUUUUCUAUAUGCCUAGGGCUGAAGUUCAGCAAUCCUCAGCACCACAUAAAAAUAAGUGAAUAAAUAAAGAUAUGUGUCCAUCUACAACUAAAAAAAUUUUUUUAAAUAUAUUUUUCUGUAGAAAAAGCAUUAUUCAAUUUCCUGCUUUAGUAAACUAUGCAACAAAAAGUGAAAACAAAGAAAGCCAGGAAAUCCAAUACAUCACUUUUAGAAAACUAUCCUCAUAUGAAAGUAAAUACCAUCAAUUCCAAGCAUACUCUAAACUUCCAGAAGUAGGUGGGUGGAGUAACAGUGCAGCACAAAAAUUUGACACUAUUCCUAUAGCGUUAUGUUUAUAUUUUAAAGUUUUCAUUCUGUAAAGCAAAUGAAGCAAAUUGAGACUUAAUUCUUAUAAUCCAUCUGGCUUGCAGAAGGGCUGGCUGUUUUGAGUAUGAAUAGUCUCAAAUCAACAUUUUACUAGCCAUUUUUCUUCAUUUCUUCCAAAGUAUAAGAGCAUUAAAAUUAAUAUAACAGGUCUGGAGGUCUAGCACAAUGGUAGAAUACUUCCCUAGCACACACAAAGCCCUGGGUUCUAUCCACCGCACUUCAAAAAUAAAAAAUAAGAAUGCGGGUGCUUUGAAAAAGUUUUGGUACUUCUUCAAAAAGUUAGACAUAGUGUUAGCAUAUGACCCAGUAAUUCCAUCCUAGAUACAUACUAAGGAGAAGUAAAAACCAUGUUCCAACAGAACUUUAUACAUGAACAUUUAUAACAGUACUAUUCAUAAUAUCCCAAAACAGAAACAACUCAAACAUCCAUAAACUGACAAACAGGUAAAAUUAAUAUGGUAUGGGCACACAAUAAAAUAUCACUCAGAUAAAAAGGAAUGAAGUAGUGAUAUAUGCUACAAUGAGAAUAAACCUUAAAAUCAUUAAGCUAAGUGAAAGAAGUCAGACACAGAAGGCAACAUGUUGUGUGAUUCCAUUUAUAUGAAACAGAGUAAGUAAAUCAGAGACAUAAACCAGAUGAGUGGCUGUCAGGAGCUGGGGGAAGGCAGGAAUGGAAAGUGAGUGAAAUGCAGUUUCCUUUUGGGAUGAUGAAAAGUUCUGGAACUAGAUAAUGGUGAUGGCUGCAAAACAACGGGAACGUACUUAAUGCCACUAAUACAUCUAUGUCAUAUAACUACAUAUCUUAAUUAACAAAAGAAACCCUACAUAAAAGAAAAUUGAUGCUGCCUUCUCAUCAGAGAAAGUCAACUUCUGAAAUAAAUGUUGAUUGCUUUGGUACCCAUUUAAAACUCUGUUCUUAAUUUGAUAAGUAUAUUAUAAAAUUUCAAAAGUAAACCUUUUUUUCUACAAUAUCCCUACUUAAGCUUUUCUAUUUACUAGGAAUUCUCAUUAUUUCCUACUUUGCAAUGCUUAGUCCACCAGUGUAGGAAUCAAUUUCAUAUUUGUCUAAACAAUUCAAGUGAAUUUUAAAUUGGACAUAAUAUUUUAUUAAAUUUGGCUUGCUAAUACUGUGUUAAACGUUAGCACAGGAGGGAAACAUGUUUAUUUCUAAUAAAUGAGAUCAGCAAAAGAAGAAAAGCAUUUUAAAUAGCAAACAAUUUAAUACUGUACUACUCAUUAAGUUCUCUGAUAGUUUUUUUGAUAUUCAACAGAAAAGGCAACAUUUUAAAGUCAUGCCAAAUGCAGAGCCAAACAAUUUCUUUUUACCCAAGUACAACAGGUAAUACCACUUUUGUGAAACCUAAUUCUAGGCAAGGCUAAAUUGAGCUACUUAUAUAAAAAUAUGCCCACUAGUCACUCAUAGUGUUCUAUUUGCUCAUAAUGUGAUUUGAUUAGAGGAGGCUAUGUCCAUGAAUUAACCAUGGAAUCUACCAGAUUAAUAACAGUUUCAAAUUAGACAGGUGACACAUGCCUAUAAUCCCAGAAGUUUGGGAGGCUGAUGCAGGAGGAUCACAAGUUCAAGGUCAGCCUCAGAAAUUUAGUGAGACCCUGCCGGCUCCCUGCAAAAAAAAAAAAAAGAGGGCUGGGGGUGUAGCUCAGUGGUAGAGUGCCCCUGGGCUAAAUCCCCAGUACAAAAAAAAAAAAGUUUUAAUUAAAAGUAAUAACUUUUGGGAAAGGGCUGUGUCUCAGUGGUAGAGCACUUGCCUAGCAUGUGUGAGGUACUGGGUUGAUUCCUCGCACCACAUAAAAGUAAGCAAAUAAAAUAAAGGUAUUGUGUCCAUCUACAACUAAAAAAAUAUUUUUUAAAAAAGUAAUAACUUUUAUUUGGGUCCCAUCCAAACCAGAAAAUGAACUAUAUGCCUUUUGCAUAUUAUUACUUAUUUUAGUCUAACAAUAACUUUACAGAUAAUAGGCUUACAUAAGGGCAUAACACCAGUAUAUUACAAAGCAAGGAUUCAAACCAAGGUCUAUCAGACAUAAAAUCAUUUCUACUAAGACAUUCUAAGGAUGGUUUGCAAAGGAACAUAUUUCCAGUUUAAUUGUCAAUCAUAUUCUCUCUUGAACAUAGUUUCUAAAUUAUCAGGGAAUGAGAAGAGAAAAACAUGCUUAAAAAGAACAUUGGUGGGGCUGGGGCAACGUUCUAGCUCAGUGGUAGAGCACUUGCCUAGCAUUCUCAGUAUUGCAUAUAAAUAAAUUAUAAAGGUCAAAUGACAACCAAAAAAAAUUAAAAAAAAAAAAUUGCUGAAGAAAGCAGGUAAGUGUCUGGGAGAAACAUUCAACAUAUUAUGUACCUACUAUGUGCCAUUUGCUGUGGGGCUCUUAUAUGUCUAAAUAUUUAAUUAUUGCAAAACCCCUGGAACAUAGGGAUUUUUAUAUAUGAGGAAACUGAAGUGUAGAGAAACCUGUCAAAGUCAUAGAAGUUGCAAGAGAUGGAGUCAGGAUUGGAAACUAAAUUUAGUUCAUCGUUAAAUAUUUACUGAAUGCCUGCUAUGUACUAGGGCUAUAAAAGAGAUUUAAAACAGAAUAUUAGAAAUCCCCCAUCACAGAACUCAAACUAAAACCCCUUUCCUUUCUUUCUUUCUUUUCUCUUUUUUAAGGUCCAGGCUCUAGCCUAAACUCCUGGGCUCAAGUGAUCCUCCUGCCUCAGACUCCUUAUUAGCUGGAACUACAUGUGCAUGCCAAAAUACCUGGCUCUCAAACACAUUUUCUUUUUGUUCAGGAAGUUGUAAAACUGAAAAAUCCCCCAUAGAUAUCUCUUUGAAUAGUUCUAUUUUAAAUGACUGUUUAAAUGUUUAGGUUACACACAUUAGUAAUACCCAUAAACCCCAAACAUAGAGUGCCAUGAAAACCAAACAAGCAUCCAGUAGUAAAUUCUGUCCUACAUGCAGAUUUUUAACAAUACUACCAGAUGAUGCCACAUUAGAAAAGACACUUCACAUGUUUUGGAGGAGGAUUUAAAUCAUUAAACAUUCUAUGAAGACUGAAGUUGUAUGAGAUUUUAAAUGGCAACAGUAAAAUUUCAAAAAGAACAGAAGUAGUCAGCACAAAGCUAGUUUAACAUUAAUAAUAAGUGAGCUAAUAAACAGGUCUAUGUUUACCCCAUCAGGUACUGCUUAUUAUGUCAUCUGGAAAACCAGAAGGAAACUGGUUUUAACUCCCAUAUAACCUGUAUCAUGACAACAUCACUUUACCACAAAUCAGCUGAUACCAGCAUAAAACUGGGGCAGUUCACAUUAAAAAACUGUUUCUUCCUUUCCAAGCACUUUCAUAAUUCAUUCAUGUACAGACUUUAUAGAGUAUCUCCUUAAGGGAAAAAAAGGGGACAAUUAACACAGAACAUUUGAUAUGCCAGAUACUACAUGAGUUUUCUUAUUUAAUUCUCAUAGCCAUCUUGCAAGAUAUUAUCAUGGUCUAUUAGAGGAAGAGACAGAACUUUUAAGAAACAAAGUAACUUUUCUAAGGCCACAUAACUAAUAAAAAGCAUCAUGUUCAAAUUCAGAUGAAAUUAUUAUAAUGUUGCACAGCACUAAAUGGCUGUCACUUUCUUAACCUGCAAAAAAUAAUAAGUAAGUAAGUAAUAAAGGAGAUGAACUGGAUCAUCUCUAAGAUCCCUAAACAUUAAAAACUUUAUGAGAAUAUAAUCUUGGGGCAGGAAAAGCAGAGUGCAAAUAACAACCUGGAUUAAAAAAAAUUAUAGCUCUUUUUAAAAAUUCCUGGGAAGGUCACUAUGAAACAGAAUACAAAACAGUUUCAGGUAGAAAACUUCACACAUAAAUAUAACAUUUAGUAUUAUCAAUAGAGAACCUAGUUAGAAAAAACUAGUUCCAUCUUAAAACAAUGCCAUUGUAAAAGUCUGCAAUUAGGUGGCUGGGGUAUCGCUCAGUAGUAGAGGACUUGCCUCCUAUGUGUGAGGCACUGGGUUCGAUCCUCAGCACCACGUAAAAGUAAAUAAAAAAAAUAAAGAUACUGCAUCCAUGUAUAACUAAAAAAUAUGUUUAAAAAAGUCUGCAAUCACCAGUGUAAGCCAGCUCAGGCAAGGUCACCUAGGGUCAAAUCCAUGAACAACUAAUCCAUAAAUAAAUAUUGAAAAAUCAUGAGGUUCUAGAGUCAAACAAGUUUGAGAAAUGCUGGAUUUAACAUUAGUCCUGUUUCCUUACUGGCUGCAAGUAGUAUAUUGGGCUUGAGACCUAUGAAGUCACUCCUUUUUUUUUUAUAGGACACAAUAUCUUUAUUUUAUUUAUUAUUUUUAUAUGGUGCUAAGGAUCAAACCCAGUGCCUCACAUAUGCUAGGCUAGGCAAGCACUCUAUCACUGAGCCAUAACCCCAGCUCUAGAGUCUUCCUGGAUUUGAAUCCCAGCUCUUCCAUUUCAGCUCAGCCAUGUGAUUUAUAGUAGAUAAAGUUUUUGUAAAGAUUAGAAAGAUUGCUGGAUGCAGUGGCCCAUGAUAGUAAUCCCCAAAACUUGUUAGGCUGAGGCAGGAGGAUCACAAGUUCAAAGCCAGCCUCAGGAACUUAGUUAAGCCCUAAGCAAUCUAGCAAGACUCUAUCUAAAAAUUAAAACAUAAAAAAAAAUAUGGGGGCUGGGGAUGUGGCUCAAGUGGUAGUGCACUCGCCUGGCAUGCGCGGGGCGAUGGGUUCAAUCCUCA